UACGUAGGGUGCGAGCGUUAAUCGGAAUUACUGGGCGUAAAGCGUGCGCAGGCGGUUUCGUAAGACAGAUGUGAAAUCCCCGGGCUUAACCUGGGAACUGCGUUUGUGACUGCGAGACUCGAGUGUGGCAGAGGGGGGUGGAAUUCCACGUGUAGCAGUGAAAUGCGUAGAGAUGUGGAGGAACACCGAUGGCGAAGGCAGCCCCCUGGGUUAACACUGACGCUCAUGCACGAAAGCGUGGGUAGCAAACAGG
This 253-nucleotide ribosomal RNA is filed under the name uncultured bacterium. RNAcentral describes it as "partial 16S ribosomal RNA". It matches the Rfam family "Bacterial small subunit ribosomal RNA", at positions 524 to 776 of the family's 1533-position model. The record is from RNAcentral.